RNAcentral lists this ribosomal RNA (253 nucleotides) under uncultured bacterium. Its description in RNAcentral is "partial 16S ribosomal RNA". It matches the Rfam family "Bacterial small subunit ribosomal RNA", at positions 524 to 776 of the family's 1533-position model. The record is from RNAcentral.
UACGUAGGUUGCAAGCGUUGUCCGGAUUUACUGGGCGUAAAGAGCGCGCAGGCGGCCGAGUAAGUCGAAUGUGAAAGCCCCCGGCUCAACUGGGGAACGUCAUUCGAUACUGUUCGGCUCGAAGAUAGGAGAGGGAAGCGGAAUUUCAGGUGUAGUGGUGAAAUGCGUAGAUAUCUGAAGGAACACCAGUGGCGAAGGCGGCUUUCUGGCCUAUUCUUGACGCUGAGGCGCGAAAGCUAGGGGAGCGAACGGG